Pelobates cultripes (western spadefoot toad) is the source of this 1045-nucleotide non-coding RNA. The record is from the annotation of a GenBank genome assembly. Lineage: Eukaryota; Metazoa; Chordata; Amphibia; Anura; Pelobatidae.
UCCUGAACUAAGCGAUAUGCUGGCCAGUGGUGUUGGGAGUGGGUCUGGUGUUGUUCUUGCCUACCGGGCAUAUUUUGAGAAUUGUGGGGUUGUUGGGGUGUGUGGGGUUUCCUGGGGUGUGGACACUCAUUCCUCCAGUGGCCAUAUUGUCCACAGUUGAAACAAGUGUUCCUGUCUAUUCCUCCUUGGUUACCCCUAUAACCCUGAUUUCCCUGUCUCCAUCCCCUUGCCCCUCUUUGACCACCCCUUUCCACAGGCUUUAUGUGCUCCAUCCCAUCCACGCUCUCAGCCUGUGUAGCUGGACAUAAUAUGUUGCAAUCCCUGAGCAUAAUAAGCAACCUUACUUUCCUAAAUCUUUUCUUAAUUCAGAACAACCUGCAUUUUCCUUUUCUAUAACCUUGGUAAGAAACUCUGAGCUAUCCAAAUUGGCCCAGUCUGAAAUCAAUUGUUUCACAAGCAAAGAAUACUGUGGCAACAUAUUACCAAGGCAUGACUGUAUUUUAAAAAGAUCUAUAUCAUCUCCAGACAUCAAACCUGCCUCAUCCUUCCAACACUUGUAAAAUUUCUUUACAAAAAUCAUAUUACCAAUCUCUUCCUUUGCAUCCUGCUUAAAUGCCAAAGCAGUGAAUAUAGACUGCUUAUUCUUCCAUAAUCCCAACAUUUCAGCUUCCACCUUGUUCCAGAUUUUAGCACAUCUUACUGAAGUACUAAGCUCAUAAUCACCAAUUCAUUUCAAACCAUAUAACUUAUACUCAGCAUCCCAUGUAAUAUUAGUCAUCUCACAAAACAAUAUCUUUGUAGAAACACAUAAUGGGUACCCAGCAGAUAUGCCAAUACAGAAAUCACAUUUAUGGGCACACAACUACACACUCUGUCUCCCUCCUAGGAAACAUGGAUAGACACAAUAUAAAAGCAAUCUUAAACUAACACCUCCAAAUCUCCAACUAUUCUUGGCCAAAACGCUAGUAUUCAACAACUAAUAAAACAGUUAUUUGCUAGGUUAUUUGGCUGUCAUUCUUAUCAGUAUCACUAGACUGUGACAAAC